AAAUGAAUAGACGGGGGCCCGCACAAGCGGAGGAACAUGUGGUUUAAUUCGAUGAUACGCGAGGAACCUUACCCGGGCUUGAAAUGCAUCUGACGAUAUUUGAAAGAAUAUUUCUAGCAAUAGCAGAUGUGUAGGUGCUGCAUGGUUGUCGUCAGCUCGUGCCGUGAGGUGUCGGCUUAAGUGCCAUAACGAGCGCAACCCUUGCGAUUAGUUGCUAACAGGUAGUGCUGAGGACUCUAAUUGGACUGCCAUCGUAAGAUGCGAGGAAGGUGGGGAUGACGUCAAAUCAGCACGGCCCUUAUGUCCGGGGCGACACACGUGUUACAAUGGGGGGUACAACGGGCAGCUACACAGCGAUGUGAUGCUAAUCUCUAAAAACCUCUCUCAGUUCGGAUCGGAGUCUGCAACUCGACUCUGUGAAGCUGGAUUCGCUAGUAAUCGCGCAUCAGCCAUGGCGCGGUGAAUACGUUCCCGGGCCUUGUACACACCGCCCGU
This 495-nucleotide ribosomal RNA is filed under the name uncultured bacterium. RNAcentral describes it as "bacterial SSU rRNA". It matches the Rfam family "Bacterial small subunit ribosomal RNA", at positions 903 to 1397 of the family's 1533-position model. The record is from RNAcentral.